RNAcentral lists this transfer RNA (71 nucleotides) under Sphaerodactylus townsendi. RNAcentral describes it as "tRNA-Ala". The record is from RNAcentral. Lineage: Eukaryota; Metazoa; Chordata; Lepidosauria; Squamata; Sphaerodactylidae.
GGGGCAUAGAUUAGUGGUAAAGCAUCUGUUUUGCAUGCAGAAGGUUCCAGGAUCAGUCCCUGCCAUCUUCA